Long non-coding RNA from Chiroxiphia lanceolata (lance-tailed manakin), 263 nucleotides. RefSeq lists it as uncharacterized. The transcript has 3 exons. Lineage: Eukaryota; Metazoa; Chordata; Aves; Passeriformes; Pipridae. The record is from RefSeq and is a predicted model, not a curated record.
CCCGCCAAGUUUCCUGCUCAAUCUUCUCCAGCAAACUGUUUGGAGAUGGAAAGACAGCAGAAACGUAAUUGACCUCAGUGCUUUGACUCUCCCUGGCCCUGCAGACAGAGGAGCAGAAGGUGGCAGAGCUUACAGCAGGCUGAAGAGCUCCCUGUAGUUCUCAUCACCUUUUCCUUCGGACACCAGGCUGUCCAGCUUAUCGAUCAACUCGGCUUCCACCUGCAGGAAGAGGGAUCAAAUCAAUCACUCAGACACACUUUCAA